This 253-nucleotide ribosomal RNA is filed under the name uncultured bacterium. RNAcentral describes it as "partial 16S ribosomal RNA". It matches the Rfam family "Bacterial small subunit ribosomal RNA", at positions 524 to 776 of the family's 1533-position model. The record is from RNAcentral.
UACGGAGGGUGCAAACGUUGCUCGGAAUCAUUGGGCGUAAAGCGCACGUAGGCGGCCCAGCAAGUCGGUUGUGAAAGCCCUCGGCUUAACCGAGGAAGUGCAUUCGAAACUACUGAGCUUGAAUACUGGAGAGGAUCGCGGAAUUCCCGGUGUAGAGGUGAAAUUCGUAGAUAUCGGGAGGAACACCAGUGGCGAAGGCGGCGAUCUGGACAGAUAUUGACGCUGAGGUGCGAAAGCGUGGGGAGCAAACAGG